Chinchilla lanigera (long-tailed chinchilla) is the source of this 3002-nucleotide long non-coding RNA. The record is from Ensembl. Lineage: Eukaryota; Metazoa; Chordata; Mammalia; Rodentia; Chinchillidae.
UGGACAGAGACACAGAUGUGUGGUAGUACAGGUUGUUGACUGUACAAAGUCACCCAACUGAGUGGGGAAGUCGGACUGACAUCUGCACCCUGAUCAUCAAGCUGACGUUGCUGUGCCUGAAUCUAGGCUGGAGAUGGAGAAAGCAUGGGCCCUACUAAGAGCUGGGAAAUUCACCUACUCAGCCCCAUCGCACUUCCCUGCAGUGGCCCUUCUCUUACCUUGCUGGCAAUACAGCCGUGCCUCCCUCCGUGACUGUCUGCAGAGUGGGCACUGCUCCUUCCCAUGCCCCCUUCCACCGAGUCCACAGAGCAGGGAGAGGGCUUCAAGGAGGACAGCGCCACCUUGUGAUGGGAGCUGCCCGGAGGCUUGGAGCUGAGGGGCGGGAGAGGGCGUGGCGCCGCAGGUGAGCAGCUUCCAGAGGAAGUGAUGUCCAUGUCGGAGCUGUUUCCUCCCAGAUGGGUGUUGGAGGCCACCGGGGCACCACCUUUCUCCCAGCCUGUUCUCCCAGUCCUCAUUCUUUUUGUUUUUCUUUCCUGGUAGUGGGGAUUGAAUCCAGGGAAUGUUGAGCUACAUUCUCAGCCCUUUUUUAUUUUCAGACAGGCUUCCAUUAAGUUGUCCAGCUGGUCUUGAACUGGUGACUCUCCUGCUUCAGCCUCCUAAGUAGCUGAGAUUACAAGCUUGGGCCACUAUGCCCAGCCCAAUCCUUAUUGUUGUUGUUGUUAUUAUUAUUAUUAUUAUUAUGUCUUUUGAGACAGGGUCUUGCUAUGCAGUUCAGGCUGGGCUUGAGUUCACUUUAUAGCCCAGGCUCAUCUCUAACUUGAAAGGAUCCUCCUGCUUCAGCCUCCUGAGUGCUGGGAUUAGAGGCAUGGGCCACCACUCCCGACUUUGUAAUCAUUAUUCUUUAGUGCCCCAAGUGCCCCACCUCAGCCUAGCUAAGCUUGAUCUUUUUAUUUAUUUUUUUUUUAUUUUUUGAGAUAGAGUCUCACUAUGUAGUUUAGGCUGAUCUUGAACUCACUAUGGCCCAGGCUGGCCUCGGAUUCCCGAUGAUCCUCCUGCCUCAGCCUCCCAAGUGUUGUGAUUACAGGUGUGUGCCACCACGCUCAGCUGAGCUUGAUCAUUUUUAUACCUGCAGUCCCUGAACUCCACCAGAGCUCAAGAACUGGGAAAAGGGGUAGAGAAGUGUGGCUCAGUGAGGCACCUUGUGCUUGGCCUGACCCCAAGCCCUAUUUCAGUGAGCUGAAGAGAACCAGAAGUCACAAUGGCCUGCUCAGGAGCACCUCUGUGUGUCUUCAGGGACACAGUCUGAGGCCCAAGGAAAGAAGGUGUGAACCAGGGGCCAGGAAGUCAGUAGUCAGUUGGGCCACUCACUCCCCAGCAGCACCUACGCAGACGGCCUGUGGCCCCUAGGCCUGCUCCUCGUCACGCCCUCGUGCAGCUCUUUUGGAGACAGCGCCUUCACAGAGGCGCCUCCUCAGGGGAAGCCACUUGUUGCCAGGAGACAGGGAGCCUAGGUUCCCCGGCUGAUGCUGUGACCCCAGCCUGCACCUCUUCCCAGGGGCCCCUGUGCAGAGCUGAUGCCUCCACCCAUUGAGCUCCCCGGGGCCAGUGUGGCCCUUCCUCCAGACCUUGUGAUGUGACCCAGGGGCCCUGGACUAGAUUCAGGGACUCAGCCCAAAAGCUCUUGGCUCUGCCGCUGACUCCCUGUGGGCUGUUCUCUCUUCAGCCAUUACCCACAGGACUAGGACAUGGAGAGAGAGAAUCCUAGCUGGGCUCCCCACCUUCUGGCCAGAAUCCUCACGGUUUAGAUGAAUACGCUGUGACAUCAGAUACACUGUGACCCUGGACCAGUAACAGCAUCUAUCUGAGCCUCGGUUUUCUCAUCUGGAAAAUGGGGACAAAAUAGUACAUGUGUGCACGCACACAUACACACACACACCCAUAGAAAGGGCUAUUGUCAGGAUGAAAUGAGAGAAAAUUAACAGAAGGUUGGUCCAGGGUUAAAUGAGUGUGUAGUGCGUGGGGCUGGAGGUGGGGACAGGUCCCAUCAUCCAGGCUGCUGAGCCAACUCAGAACACAUCUACCAAUUCCGAAGCCCCUUCAUUCUGAGUCCUUAGUCAUGGUCGGCUGGCUUUCCAGCAGCCUGUCCUCCUGUCUCGUCCUAUCUCCUUCCUAGCCUUUAGAUUUUUUUUUUUUUUUUUGACAAAUUCUUGCUGUGUUGCCUAUGUUCUAGGCUUGCUUUUGAACUUGCAAUCCUUCUGCUUCAGCCUCCUAGAGUUCUGGGAUUACAAAUGUGCACCACCAUGUGCGACUGUCUGGGUCCCUCCUUAAUCUCUUUCCCCAUCUUCCUUUUUGCUCUCCCUUUCUCCUCAGAACCUCUGCCCUGAACUGAGGGCCUCACUCGGUCAUUUCAGCCCCCACAGUGGCUGUUCCAGUCCAGCCCAGAGUUAUUUUUAUCUCCUUGAUUGAUAACCAAGAGGCUGCAGGCCCUUGCCAGUCUGAGAAGGGUAAUGGGGGUGGUGAGGGCCCUGUGUUGUUACCUGUGACACUUGCUUGGGAUCUCACCUUUCUCUGCAGUGGAGGGACCCAGAUCCUCAGAAUGAGGACACAAGGAGGACCAAUGAGAGGAAUGGCUGUAGGUCUUAGGGUCCCUAUUUUCCUCUAAGGCUGUUUGGCAGUGAUAAGGCGGCAUGGGGCAGAGGUGAGUCCUCAAGGGCCACUGUGUCCCCUGGGCUGGCCUCUGUUGCUGGCUUGUCUUUGGGGGAGACCAUUCAUGUCAUGUGCUGCAGCGUGAGAAGCCAGGUGGUCAUUCACUCUUUUAGCCCUCAGCUCCCCUCAUGAGCAGGGGCUGGAAGGAGGUAGUGGUCUGGGCACUUGGAGGUAGACACUAUCCAAAAAACUGCAGAGAGGGGCUGGGGAUUUAGCUCAGCGGCAAAAGCGCCUGCCUGGCAAGCGCAAGGUCGUGAGUUCGGUUCCCAGUACCGGAGAAAAACCAAAAAAAAAAC